Molecule: long non-coding RNA, 618 nt
Filed under: Malus domestica (apple)
Lineage: Eukaryota; Viridiplantae; Streptophyta; Magnoliopsida; Rosales; Rosaceae
Description: long non-coding RNA (MDOM_LNC005203)
Source: RNAcentral
UUCAAAACACAAUCAGUCCAAAAUUACACUUACAAAGAGUUAAUUAAAAUCAGUACCUACAAGUUCCAGAUCUGCCAUCUCAAAGAUUCAUAUUCCUCACUUCGAGUUGUAAAAGUAACUUUUGGGUUGGGGAUAAUACAUUCAGCUCAUGGUCACCUGAAUCAAAGAAAUAUAUAAGUAUGCAUAUUAUUUAUGGUCAAAGUGAGUUGCUUAUUUUAAUCACAUACCUAGUAAAUAUUUGUUUAAGUUAGCAUAGACAGUACAACGAUAUUGCAUUUUCCAUGAUGAAACUUGUACUAACAUGAUUAAACAUUAGCACCUUAAGAACUUCACAUCUGAAUACAUUUUUUUUGUAUUUCACUUUUGGUUUCAUCUCUACCUGGAUCCAAUUACUAAAUCCUCUUCUUUCAAUGCUGCCACACCAUAAAAGAAAAGUAAAAAAUGAAUAAAUACUUAUUGGGGGAGGGGUGGAAUCAAGACAACUCCUAAUAAAUCAAUAAAAAAAAACUUACGCUUUUCCAAAAAUUGAAGAUCCAAAAUCCUAAAAUUCUAAGCAACAUGGCUCCGUAAAUAUAAUAAUAGAUAUGAAAUUUUUCCAUACAAAUACAGAAUACGAAC